GACGAACGCUGGCGGCGUGCUUAACACAUGCAAGUCGAGCGGUAAGGCCCUUUCGGGGGUACACGAGCGGCGAACGGGUGAGUAACACGUGGGUGACCUGCCCUUAGCUCUGGGAUAAGCCUGGGAAACUGGGUCUAAUACCGGAUAUGACUCCAUGACGCAUGUUGUGGGGUGGAAAGCCUUGUGCGGCUAGGGAUGGGCCCGCGGCCUAUCAGCUUGUUGGUGGGGUGAUGGCCUACCAAGGCGACGACGGGUAGCCGGCCUGAGAGGGCGACCGGCCACACUGGGACUGAGACACGGCCCAGACUCCUACGGGAGGCAGCAGUGGGGAAUCUUGCGCAAUGGGCGAAAGCCUGACGCAGCGACGCCGCGUGAGGAUGACG
RNAcentral lists this ribosomal RNA (383 nucleotides) under uncultured bacterium. RNAcentral describes it as "bacterial SSU rRNA". It matches the Rfam family "Bacterial small subunit ribosomal RNA", at positions 28 to 413 of the family's 1533-position model. The record is from RNAcentral.